Molecule: small nuclear RNA, 108 nt
Organism: Ochotona curzoniae (black-lipped pika)
Lineage: Eukaryota; Metazoa; Chordata; Mammalia; Lagomorpha; Ochotonidae
Source: RefSeq, a predicted model, not a curated record
GUGCUUGCUUCAGCAGCACAGAUCCUAAAGUUGGAACAGUACAGAAAAGAUUAGCAUGGCCCCUGCGCAAGGAAUAGAGAAAGAUACCAAGGCUGGUAUUAUAGUGUC